RNAcentral lists this ribosomal RNA (649 nucleotides) under uncultured bacterium. RNAcentral describes it as "bacterial SSU rRNA". It matches the Rfam family "Bacterial small subunit ribosomal RNA", at positions 58 to 724 of the family's 1533-position model. The record is from RNAcentral.
CAAGUCGAGCGAGGAAAUUGCUUCGGUAAUUUCCUAGCGGCGGACGGGUGAGUAACACGUGGGCAACCUGCCUGAUAGAGGGGGAUAGCCUCCCGAAAGGGAGAUUAAUACCGCAUAAAGUCAAAUGAAGGCAUCUUCAAAUGACCAAAGGAGUAAUCCGCUAUCAGAUGGGCCCGCGGCGCAUUAGCUAGUUGGUGAGGUAACGGCUCACCAAGGCGACGAUGCGUAGCCGACCUGAGAGGGUGAUCGGCCACAUUGGGACUGAGACACGGCCCAGACUCCUACGGGAGGCAGCAGUGGGGAAUAUUGCACAAUGGGGGAAACCCUGAUGCAGCAACGCCGCGUGAGUGAUGAAGGCCUUCGGGUUGUAAAGCUCUGUCUUCAGGGACGAUAAUGACGGUACCUGAGGAGGAAGCCACGGCUAACUACGUGCCAGCAGCCGCGGUAAUACGUAGGUGGCAAGCGUUGUCCGGAUUUACUGGGCGUAAAGGGAGCGUAGGCGGAUACUUAAGUGGGAUGUGAAAUACCUGGGCUUAACUUGGGUGCUGCAUUCCAAACUGGGUGUCUAGAGUGUUGGAGAGGAAAGUGGAAUUCCUAGUGUAGCGGUGAAAUGCGUAGAGAUUAGGAAGAACACCAGUGGCGAAGGCGA